RNAcentral lists this ribosomal RNA (253 nucleotides) under uncultured bacterium. RNAcentral describes it as "partial 16S ribosomal RNA". It matches the Rfam family "Bacterial small subunit ribosomal RNA", at positions 524 to 776 of the family's 1533-position model. The record is from RNAcentral.
UACGUAGGGUGCAAGCGUUGUCCGGAAUUAUUGGGCGUAAAGAGCUCGUAGGCGGUUUGUCGCGUCGAAUGUGAAAACCCGGGGCUCAACCCCGGGCCUGCAUUCGAUACGGGCAGACUAGAGUUCGGUAGGGGAGUCUGGAAUUCCUGGUGUAGCGGUGAAAUGCGCAGAUAUCAGGAGGAACACCGGUGGCGAAGGCGGCGACCUGGGCCAAUAUUGACGCUGAGGUGCGAAAGCGUGGGGAGCAAACAGG